GAAUAUUGGACAAUGGGCGCAAGCCUGAUCCAGCCAUGCCGCGUGUGUGAAGAAGGCCUUCGGGUUGUAAAGCACUUUAAGUUGGGAGGAAGGUUUCUUGACUAAUACCCAAGAGAAUUGACGUUACCAACAGAAUAAGCACCUGCUAACUUCGUGCCAGCAGCCGCGGUAAUACGAAGGGUGCAAGCGUUAAUCGGAAUUACUGGGCGUAAAGCGCGCGUAGGUGGUUCAGUAAGUUGGAUGUGAAAUCCCCGGGCUCAACCUGGGAACUGCAUCCAAAACUGCUGAGCUAGAGUACGGUAGAGGGUGGUGGAAUUUCCUGUGUAGCGGUGAAAUGCGUAGAUAUAGGAAGGAACACCAGUGGCGAAGGCGACCACCUGGACUGAUACUGACACUGAGGUGCGAAAGCGUGGGGAGCAAACAGG
This 425-nucleotide ribosomal RNA is filed under the name uncultured bacterium. RNAcentral describes it as "bacterial SSU rRNA". It matches the Rfam family "Bacterial small subunit ribosomal RNA", at positions 359 to 776 of the family's 1533-position model. The record is from RNAcentral.